AUUGAACGCUGGCGGCAUGCCUUACACAUGCAAGUCGAACGGCAGCACGGGUGCUUGCACCUGGUGGCGAGUGGCGAACGGGUGAGUAAUACAUCGGAACGUACCUUAUCGUGGGGGAUAACGCAGCGAAAGCUGUGCUAAUACCGCAUACGCCCUGAGGGGGAAAGCGGGGGAUCGCAAGACCUCGCGCGAUUAGAGCGGCCGAUGCCUGAUUAGCUUGUUGGUGGGGUAAAAGCCCACCAAGGCGACGAUCAGUAGCUGGUCUGAGAGGACGAUCAGCCACAGUGGGACUGAGACACGGCCCAGACUCCUACGGGAGGCAGCAGUGGGGAAUUUUGGACAAUGGGGGCAACCCUGAUCCAGCAAUGCCGCGUGAGUGAAGAAGGCCUUCGGGUUGUAAAGCUCUUUUGUCAGGGAAGAAACACCGGCUCUAACACAGUCCGGGAAUGACGGUACCUGAAGAAUAAGCACCGGCUAACUACGUGCCAGCAGCCGCCGUAA
Molecule: ribosomal RNA, 501 nt
Filed under: uncultured bacterium
Lineage: Bacteria
Description: partial 16S ribosomal RNA
Rfam family: Bacterial small subunit ribosomal RNA
Source: RNAcentral